RNAcentral lists this ribosomal RNA (253 nucleotides) under uncultured bacterium. Its description in RNAcentral is "partial 16S ribosomal RNA". It matches the Rfam family "Bacterial small subunit ribosomal RNA", at positions 524 to 776 of the family's 1533-position model. The record is from RNAcentral.
UACGUAGGGUCCAAGCGUUAAUCGGAAUUACUGGGCGUAAAGCGUGCGCAGGCGGUUGUGUAAGUCAGAUGUGAAAUCCCCGGGCUCAACCUGGGAACUGCCUUUGUGACUGCAUAGCUAGAGUACGGUAGAGGGGGAUGGAAUUCCGCGUGUAGCAGUGAAAUGCGUAGAUAUGCGGAGGAACACCGAUGGCGAAGGCAAUCCCCUGGACCUGUACUGACGCUCAUGCACGAAAGCGUGGGGAGCAAACAGG